RNAcentral lists this transfer RNA (66 nucleotides) under Rhipidia chenwenyoungi. RNAcentral's name for it is "tRNA-Glu". The record is from RNAcentral. Lineage: Eukaryota; Metazoa; Arthropoda; Insecta; Diptera; Limoniidae.
AUUUAUAUAGUUUAAUAAAAACAUUACAUUUUCACUGUAAAAAUAAAAAUCACUUUUUUAUAAAUU